This 788-nucleotide ribosomal RNA is filed under the name uncultured archaeon. RNAcentral describes it as "bacterial SSU rRNA". It matches the Rfam family "Archaeal small subunit ribosomal RNA", at positions 68 to 857 of the family's 1478-position model. The record is from RNAcentral.
UCGGCGCGAUUCGCCUUACUGCUCAGUAACACGUGGACAAUCUAACCUAUGGAAGGGGAUAAUCUGGAUCACUGGGGAUAAUACCCUAUAGACUAUAGAUGCUGGAAUGCUCUGUAGCCGAAAGGUCCGCCGCCAUAGGAUGGGUCUGCGGCCGAUUAGGUUGUUGUUGGGGUAACGGCCCAACAAGCCUGUAAUCGGUACGGGUUGUGGGAGCAAGAGCCCGGAGAUGGAUUCUGAGACACGAAUCCAGGCCCUACGGGGCGCAGCAGGCGCGAAAACUUUACAAUGCGGGAAACCGUGAUAAGGGAACUCUGAGUGCCCGUAAAAUCGGGCUGUCCAUCAGUGUAAAAAACUGGUGAAGAAAGGGCCGGGCAAGACCGGUGCCAGCCGCCGCGGUAAUACCGGCGGCUCGAGUGGUGGCCACUAUUACUGGGCUUAAAGCGUUCGUAGCUGGUUUGUUAAGUCUCUGGGGAAAUCUUCCGGCUUAACCGGAAGGCGUCUCAGGGAUACUGGCAGACUAGGGACCGGGAGAGGUGAGAGGUACUCCAGGGGUAGGAGUGAAAUCCUGUAAUCCUUGGGGGACCACCUGUGGCGAAGGCGUCUCACCAGAACGGCUCCGACAGUGAGGGACGAAAGCUGGGGGAGCAAACCGGAUUAGAUACCCGGGGUAGUCCCAGCCCGUAAACGAUGUGCGUUAGGUGUAUCGGUUGACCACGAGUCACCGAGGUGCCGAAGAGUAAUCGUUGAACCGUACCGCCUGGGGAAGUUACGGUCGCAAGGCUAAACUU